GAACGCGCUGUGGUUGGCUACCUGCUGGUGCCUGCUGCUCUUCCUGCCGGCCAUCGUGAUAAGCCUCGCCCUGGCGCGGUUCUACCUGCGGAUGGAGAACGACGACGACACGCUCCCUCUCCACUCGAACGGGUCGCCCCCGGGCUCGAGCACCAACCUGCAGGGCGGCGCGUCGUCGGCGCUGUGGGGGCCGAAGGCGACGCCGCACGCCCACGCGCACCACGCCUACCCGAGUCGCCACCACAAUGGCAGAAACAAACACUGGUGAAGUACGCUCCUCCCCGCGCCAGGACGGCCACCUCCCUCGCCCUCUGACGUGGGAAGUCUCGCCCCUUUGGUGAACCGUGACCUGACUUCCCUCUGGAGCAGGAGUGCCAUGCCUCUCUCCAGGUGCCACAAAGAUGCCAUCCUCCAGCACCUUACCGAACUGUCUUCAUUCAUUCAUAGGAUUCGGAGUUGUAAAUAAGUUUGAUACUUGGCAAUACAUGUAAAUGGCUUGGCUACAUGUUUCAGGUUGUGCGAAUGUGUGUUUGUGUGUACUCUUAUAUUUUUUCUUUUUGUUUAGGUCAAAGUAUUCAUAAAUUUUAUGAUUUCAGUAAGUACUACGUUUUCAUGAUUUCAUCAUGUAAAUUGAAAAUGAAAUAUGAUAAAACUCUAUCGAAAUCUUGUUUACAUAAUUAUUUGAAUAAUAUUCAUAUCAUAAUUGUUUAUUAUUUUACUUUUCCAGAUUUUUAUAUUUUCCUAUUUUGUGAGCUAUAUUAAUAUGAUUUUUUCAGUCAAAUAUGAAGCAAUUCAUGUAGAAUGGUACAUCUAUAUUUUCAUAAUACAUAAAGAUAUCCUUAAAUAGUAAGUGUACUUAUGAACAAUUGUUAUAUAUAUUUUAUAAUUUAUUCAUUUGAGGUGAUACACUUCUUUUAAGUAAUUCCAAUCCUCUGAGGAUAUGCACUGCACCCCUUUUUACCACCGUACGUUCUUGCACUUGUUGGUUAUAGCAUUUAAUUUGUUUAUCUAGUCAACACAGCCAAAACACACUGUAUUUCCCUCUCCUUUUGUACGUUUUCAUUUUUUUUCUAAUGGCACUGAUUUAGAAUAUCUCAUCUGCACUGUGUUCAAUAAUUAUCGUGUGAGAAUAUUUGAAAUAGCUUGGUGUGAAACUGAGACAUUAUUUUUCCUUUAUUUUAGGUUAUAGCAGUCAACGCCAUGAAAUGGUUUGUUGAGUAAUGUAAGAGUUUAGGAUUUGCAUUGUUUUGUACACUAAGCGUAGAUCAUCUAAUUUCGAUGGAAAAAUAAAACGAAGAAAGUAUACUUUUUCUAUU
Molecule: non-coding RNA, 1316 nt
Organism: Penaeus vannamei (Pacific white shrimp)
Lineage: Eukaryota; Metazoa; Arthropoda; Malacostraca; Decapoda; Penaeidae
Source: RefSeq, a predicted model, not a curated record